RNAcentral lists this ribosomal RNA (1025 nucleotides) under Limosilactobacillus fermentum. RNAcentral describes it as "bacterial SSU rRNA". It matches the Rfam family "Bacterial small subunit ribosomal RNA", at positions 26 to 1005 of the family's 1533-position model. Lineage: Bacteria; Bacillati; Bacillota; Bacilli; Lactobacillales; Lactobacillaceae. The record is from RNAcentral.
AGGAUGAACGGCUGGCGGUGUGCCUAAUACAUGCAAGUCGAACGCGUUGGCCCAAUUGAUUGAUGGUGCUUGCACCUGAUUGAUUUUGGUCGCCAACGAGUGGCGGACGGGUGAGUAACACGUAGGUAACCUGCCCAGAAGCGGGGGACAACAUUUGGAAACAGAUGCUAAUACCGCAUAACAGCGUUGUUCGCAUGAACAACGCUUAAAAGAUGGCUUCUCGCUAUCACUUCUGGAUGGACCUGCGGUGCAUUAGCUUGUUGGUGGGGUAACGGCCUACCAAGGCGAUGAUGCAUAGCCGAGUUGAGAGACUGAUCGGCCACAAUGGGACUGAGACACGGCCCAUACUCCUACGGGAGGCAGCAGUAGGGAAUCUUCCACAAUGGGCGCAAGCCUGAUGGAGCAACACCGCGUGAGUGAAGAAGGGUUUCGGCUCGUAAAGCUCUGUUGUUAAAGAAGAACACGUAUGAGAGUAACUGUUCAUACGUUGACGGUAUUUAACCAGAAAGUCACGGCUAACUACGUGCCAGCAGCCGCGGUAAUACGUAGGUGGCAAGCGUUAUCCGGAUUUAUUGGGCGUAAAGAGAGUGCAGGCGGUUUUCUAAGUCUGAUGUGAAAGCCUUCGGCUUAACCGGAGAAGUGCAUCGGAAACUGGAUAACUUGAGUGCAGAAGAGGGUAGUGGAACUCCAUGUGUAGCGGUGGAAUGCGUAGAUAUAUGGAAGAACACCAGUGGCGAAGGCGGCUACCUGGUCUGCAACUGACGCUGAGACUCGAAAGCAUGGGUAGCGAACAGGAUUAGAUACCCUGGUAGUCCAUGCCGUAAACGAUGAGUGCUAGGUGUUGGAGGGUUUCCGCCCUUCAGUGCCGGAGCUAACGCAUUAAGCACUCCGCCUGGGGAGUACGACCGCAAGGUUGAAACUCAAAGGAAUUGACGGGGGCCCGCACAAGCGGUGGAGCAUGUGGUUUAAUUCGAAGCUACGCGAAGAACCUUACCAGGUCUUGACAUCUUGCGCCAACCCUAGAG